UCUAAUAUGGCAGAAUAGUGCAAUGAUCUUAAACUUCAUAUAUAAAGAAAACUUUUUUUAGAA
RNAcentral lists this transfer RNA (63 nucleotides) under Ptiliidae sp. BMNH 1274724. RNAcentral's name for it is "tRNA-Leu". Lineage: Eukaryota; Metazoa; Arthropoda; Insecta; Coleoptera; Ptiliidae. The record is from RNAcentral.